AUUGAACGCUGGCGGCAGGCCUAACACAUGCAAGUCGAACGGUAGCACAGAGGAGCUUGCUCCUUGGGUGACGAGUGGCGGACGGGUGAGUAAUGUCUGGGAAACUGCCCGAUGGAGGGGGAUAACUACUGGAGACGGUAGCUAAUACCGCAUAACGUAUUCGGACCAAAGUGGGGGACCUUCGGGCCUCACACCAUCGGAUGUGCCCAGAUGGGAUUAGCUAGUAGGUGGGGUAAUGGCUCACCUAGGCGAAGAUCCCUAGCUGGUCUGAGUGGAUGACCAGCCACACUGGAAGUGAGACACGGUCCAGACUCCUACGGGAGGCAGCAGUGGGGAAUAUUGCACAAUGGGCGCAAGCCUGAUGCAGCCAUGCCGCGUGUAUGAAGAAGGCCUUCGGGUUGUAAAGUACUUUCGGCGGGGAGGAAGGCGUUAAGGUUAAUAACCUUGGCGAUUGACGUUACCCGCAGAAGAAGCACCGGCUAACUCCGUGCCAGCCGCCGCCGUAA
RNAcentral lists this ribosomal RNA (506 nucleotides) under uncultured bacterium. Its description in RNAcentral is "partial 16S ribosomal RNA". It matches the Rfam family "Bacterial small subunit ribosomal RNA", at positions 30 to 523 of the family's 1533-position model. The record is from RNAcentral.